UACGUAGGGGGCAAGCGUUGUCCGGAAUCAUUGGGCGUAAAGCGCGUGUAGGCGGCCCGGUAAGUCCGCUGUGAAAAGUCGGGGGCUCAACCCUCGGAUGCCGGUGGAUACUGUCGGGCUCGAGUACGGAAGAGGCGAGUGGAAUUCCUGGUGUAGCGGUGAAAUGCGUAGAUAUCUGGAGGAACACCGGUGGCGAAGGCGAGUCUCUGGACAUUUCCUGACGCUGAGGCACGAAAGCCAGGGGAGCAAACGGG
This 254-nucleotide ribosomal RNA is filed under the name uncultured bacterium. RNAcentral's name for it is "partial 16S ribosomal RNA". It matches the Rfam family "Bacterial small subunit ribosomal RNA", at positions 524 to 776 of the family's 1533-position model. The record is from RNAcentral.